Non-coding RNA from Brachypodium distachyon (stiff brome), 137 nucleotides. NCBI's taxonomy places the organism in Eukaryota, Viridiplantae, Streptophyta, Magnoliopsida, Poales, Poaceae. The record is from Rfam.
UAUGUACUCCCUCAGUUCAACAAAAGAUGUCUCAAGUUUUGUCAAAAUUUGGAUGUAUCUAUACAUGACUUAGUGUAUAGAUGCAUUCAAAUUCAAUCAAAGUCGAAACAUCUUUUGUUAGACGGAGGAAUCAUAUC